UGGUCAAGGUGAGACAGUGACCUGGUGAAUAGCCCUAACCCUUCCUGGACAGCCUGCCUGACGUCAAGGUGAGACAGUGACAUGGUGAAUAGCCCUAACCCUUCCUGGACAGCCUGCCUGACGUCAAGGUGAGACUGCGGGAACAUUCUGUGACCAUAUUUCCAUUUGACUAGGACCCAGCAACUAUUGGAGAGACCCAUUGUCUAUUCCUGUUCUU
Non-coding RNA from Salmo salar (Atlantic salmon), 217 nucleotides. The record is from RefSeq and is a predicted model, not a curated record. NCBI's taxonomy places the organism in Eukaryota, Metazoa, Chordata, Actinopteri, Salmoniformes, Salmonidae.